Molecule: ribosomal RNA, 422 nt
Filed under: uncultured bacterium
Lineage: Bacteria
Description: partial 16S ribosomal RNA
Rfam family: Bacterial small subunit ribosomal RNA
Source: RNAcentral
UACUGGACAAUGGGCGCAAGCCUGAUCCAGCCAUGCCGCGUGUGUGAAGAAGGUCUUCGGAUUGUAAAGCACAUUAAUUUGGGAGGAUGGGCAGCUCACGAAUACUUAACUGCUUUGACGUUACCACAAGAAUAAGCACCGUCUAACUUAGUGCCAGCAGCCGUGGUAAUACGAAGGGUGCAAGCGUUAAUCGGAAUUACUGGGCGUAAAGCGCGCGUGGGUGGUUCGUUAAGUUGGAAGUGAAAGCCCCGGGCUCAACCUGGGAAUUGCUUUCAAAACUGGCGGGCUAGAGUACGGUAGAGGGUGGUGGAAUUUCCUGUGUAGCGGUGAAAUGCGUAGAUAUAGGAAGGAACAUCAGUGGCGAAGGCGACCACCUGGAUUGAUACUGACACUGAGGUGCGAAAGCGUGGGGAGCAAACAGG